CUCACACGUGAGCCUUCUCAGACCUCAUCGGCUUCUGCUGCACACACGUGCCCUUGGGGAUUGGUUUUCCAGGACUGCCCUAGCAACAUACCCCUGGGGAGCUUCCGGCGACAGAAAUGGAAAGGAACACUGCUCUGUACAGACACCGUCCCUUUGCUGAGGAGGGGGACACGGAGACCGAGACGCAAAGAGAAGAGAGAUUGUGAAGACACACCGCAAAAGGCCAUGUGACAACAGAGGCAGAGACGGGAGGGACACAGCCACAUGCCGAGAGCACCAGCAACCACCAGAAAAAGCAGGAAUUCUCCCCCAGGAGCCUUCACAGAGCCCAGCCCACACUUGGACCUUGGAUUUCUAGCCUCCAGGUCUGCGAGAGAGUACAUUUCUGUUGCUGUAAGCCACCGGCGUAUGACGAUUUGUCACCCCAGCUAUAGGAAAUCCGCACAUGGUGCUUUUGGCUGAGACCGGGGUCUGGGCAUCAGGACACC
Long non-coding RNA from Neogale vison (American mink), 488 nucleotides. RefSeq lists it as uncharacterized. NCBI's taxonomy places the organism in Eukaryota, Metazoa, Chordata, Mammalia, Carnivora, Mustelidae. The record is from RefSeq and is a predicted model, not a curated record. The transcript has 3 exons.